This is a long non-coding RNA of Neofelis nebulosa (Clouded leopard), 1152 nucleotides long. RefSeq lists it as uncharacterized. NCBI's taxonomy places the organism in Eukaryota, Metazoa, Chordata, Mammalia, Carnivora, Felidae. The transcript has 2 exons. The record is from RefSeq and is a predicted model, not a curated record.
AGCGUAGGUCCGUGCUCCCUGCUCAACAUCCCUACGACUUCUUUCCGGUCCCAGGCCCAGGCUUCGGGGCUAUGGGGAGCCUGGGUCCAGUCAUGCAGUCACCUCCUCCGGCCUCUUCGCUCACUCCUCCGUUUGGCUAUCGCGCCUGAGCGCCCCCCUCCCACCCAACCCCUCCAAGACACCUGGGCGCAGACCGCAGUCAGUAAGCAGAAACGCCGCCUGAUCUCGUCCUGGACGCCAGCACUUAGAAUGGAGUCCAGGUUGCACGCCAGCCUGUCAACACCGGCAAGUAAACUGAAAACGGCACAAGGACAAAACUACCCACGUUUGUGUCUUCAAGAAAGGACGCUCCCGCCCUGCAGAGAGCACUUUGUACCAGAUCUCAGCCUUGCCUUUCAGUCCCGAUUCUGCCCCUGGACUGGUCUGAUUCCCCAGAGCUGGUGGGACAGGGGGUACCCUUCUCUGAGUUCGAGCAAAUAGCUGCCAGUGGAACUGGUCAACCAUUCUUUCUCGGCAGACAGGAUUUUCCCAGUUUGGUGACCCUGGAGGCAUUCGCCCUGAAAAUGAGCCACCACUUCUGAUUUGCCCAAUCCACCUUCUCAAACUGGGCUAUGAGAUUAGGUGGGAGACAUGAGAGGUCAUUCUGUGGAAAGGGCAGAUGCUCUGUGACCCUGUGUGGGGCUGACCUGGUGUAGGGAGCUGGCCCAGGAGGUCCUACCACAAACACUAGGUUCAGGGGCCUUUCUGCUCAGAACUUUGACCUGUCAUUCCUCUGAGAGCCCUUCUGAGUGCGCUUGAGAGGGGAGGGACUCUGAGUGGAAAACUUACUGAGAUUGGAGACACAGGCUUUGGAUUUAGAUGAGUCAAAACCUCAACAUUACCGCUUUAUAUUACACUGUAUGAUCUCAAGGAAUACAGUUACCCACACUUAUUCUUAUUUUCCUCAUCUAUGGAAAGGGGAUAGCAAUUCCCAGCCUGGGAUUGUAGUAAGAAUGGGUCUUGGACCAGCCCCUGCCAGUCCUUUACGAAUUUACACAAGGGGCACCUGGGUGGCUCAGUCGGUUAAGCUUUUGACUUAGGCUCAGGUCAUGAUCUUGAGGUUCCCGCAUGGGGACAAACUUCAAAAAUAAACUUCAAAACUUCAAAAGUAAA